RNAcentral lists this ribosomal RNA (430 nucleotides) under Pseudomonadota bacterium. RNAcentral describes it as "Proteobacteria bacterium partial 16S ribosomal RNA". It matches the Rfam family "Bacterial small subunit ribosomal RNA", at positions 355 to 777 of the family's 1533-position model. Lineage: Bacteria; Pseudomonadati; Pseudomonadota. The record is from RNAcentral.
UGGGGAAUAUUGGACAAUGGGCGAAAGCCUGAUCCAGCCAUGCCGCGUGUGUGAAGAAGGUCUUCGGAUUGUAAAGCACUUUAAGUUGGGAGGAAGGGCAGUAAGCGAAUACCUUGCUGUUUUGACGUUACCGACAGAAUAAGCACCGGCUAACUCUGUGCCAGCAGCCGCGGUAAUACAGAGGGUGCAAGCGUUAAUCGGAAUUACUGGGCGUAAAGCGCGCGUAGGUGGUUCGUUAAGUUGAAUGUGAAAGCCCCGGGCUCAACCUGGGGACUGCAUCCAAAACUGGCGAGCUAGAGUAGGGCAGAGGGUGGUGGAAUUUCCUGUGUAGCGGUGAAAUGCGUAGAUAUAGGAAGGAACACCAGUGGCGAAGGCGACCACCUGGGCUCAUACUGACACUGAGGUGCGAAAGCGUGGGGAGCAAACAGGA